RNAcentral lists this ribosomal RNA (253 nucleotides) under uncultured bacterium. RNAcentral's name for it is "partial 16S ribosomal RNA". It matches the Rfam family "Bacterial small subunit ribosomal RNA", at positions 524 to 776 of the family's 1533-position model. The record is from RNAcentral.
UACGGAGGGUGCGAGCGUUGUCCGGAAUCACUGGGCGUAAAGGGCGCGUAGGCGGCUACUUAAGCGUGUGGUGAAAGUCCGGGGCUCAACCCCGGAUCGGCCGUGCGAACUGAGUGGCUCGAGCACUGUAGAGGCAGGUGGAAUUCCGGGUGUAGCGGUGGAAUGCGUAGAGAUCCGGAGGAACACCAGCGGCGAAGGCGGCAUCCUGGACUGGUCCUGACACUCAGGAGCGAAAGCGUGGGGAGCGAUCCGG